CGCGGGAUGGAGCAGUGGCCAGCUCGUCGGGCUCAUAACCCGAAGGUCGGGGGUUCGAAUCCCUCUCCCGCUACCA
Molecule: transfer RNA, 76 nt
Filed under: Rhodospirillaceae bacterium
Lineage: Bacteria; Pseudomonadati; Pseudomonadota; Alphaproteobacteria; Rhodospirillales; Rhodospirillaceae
Also listed under: 1 other name
Description: tRNA-Met
Rfam family: tRNA
About the family: Transfer RNA (tRNA) molecules are approximately 80 nucleotides in length. Their secondary structure includes four short double-helical elements and three loops (D, anti-codon, and T loops).
Source: RNAcentral